Molecule: ribosomal RNA, 575 nt
Filed under: Drillia regius
Lineage: Eukaryota; Metazoa; Mollusca; Gastropoda; Neogastropoda; Drilliidae
Description: partial 12S ribosomal RNA
Source: RNAcentral
UGCCAGCAGCCGCGGUUAAACCAAGAAAUUAAGUCAUAUUUUACGGUAAAAAGAUAGUUAGAUAUUAAUAAAAUAGGUUUUUGAAUGGUUUAUAUAAAAGUAAAAUUUAAAUAUAAAUUUUUAGACUAAAAAUAACUUAAUAAAUUGAAUCUAUAAAAAUCUUGAGGGAAACUGGGACUAGAUACCCCAUUAUUCUUGAUUAUAAAAGUAUAAAUUACCAGAGUACUACGAAUAAAAUAAAAUUUAAAACUCAAAGGGCUUGGCGGUGUCUUAGACCAUUUAGGGGAACCUGUCUCAUAAUCGAUAAUCCACGUUAUACCUAACUUUUUUUUGUAUUCAGCUUGUAUACCGUUGUCGUCAGGUAACUUUUAAAAAAUUAUAAGUUAGCUAUAAACUUUUAAUUAAAACGUCAGAUCAAGGUGCAGCUUAUAAAAAUGGGAGGAUGGGUUACAAUUAAUAUUUAUAAUUACGGAUGAUUUUUUGAAAAAUAGUUUGAAGGAGGACUUAAAAGUAAAUUAGACUAUAAAAAUACUUUGAAUAAGGCUCUGAGAUGUGCACACAUCGCCCGCCACUCU